GAUGUCAUGUGUUAAGGGGGCAGGUCUGCUCCAGCACUGCAGAGUACAAAGGACCUCCAGCAACCUCACUGCUCCAUACUGUAUUAUUACAUUAUUCUAACAAGACAAAUAGUUUACUUAAUAUUGGUAUUUUUGUACUUACGGGGAUGAGUCCUAGAAACAUCCUGAGAAAAACGAGAGAUGAUGAGUCACAUAUUGUGUUGCUCACUGACAGAACAAUGUGUGCAGCAAGUGGCAGAUUAAAUGAUGACCAGCACAGUAUAAUGUGUGAGGCUUCCUGUGUACUGUCUGUCAAGCUGUCGGAAUUUGUGCAGCACUAAAGUGGAUAUGUACAGGAUUAUGGCAGGGCAUGAAAAGGAAUCCAGCACUUGAAAACCCUCACGUCUUUUUCAUCAUCAAAAAGUACAGCUUCAGAGGACUGGCUAAUAUAUGAAUCAAACACAAGCAAGGCUGGCUGACAAGUCACAAUAAGGAGAGAUAGAGCAAAAGUGAAAGUGAUCACUAAGCGGAGCUGAAUCACCCAUCAGGAAGCUGAAAGACUGAAAAAAAAAGAAGAAGAAGAUGGUCGGCUUCUAAAUCAGCCAAACAUUUUAAACAUCCCUGCUGUAAUUGGCAAUUUUGUAAUAUUUAUUCACAACAGAUCUGAUUGUCAGAGUCCCACUGGCUCCUCUCUGGAGAGUUUGCGUGAAAUCAGUUUGAAAUGGUGUGUCAAUUUUUUUUUUCCUCAAGUCACCAUCUGGCUGAUAGACUAGAGUCUGUUCUAAUACACUGACCCAGUGAAUCGCUGCUAAACUACUCCCUCGACAGUUCCUUUGCAUCUCGGAAGAUAUUCACAGAGAGCGCCAUAUACAGGCAGACGCGUACGGCGCGUAAUGGGGAGCAGUUAUUAGAGAAUUUGAUUUGCAUAAAACUAAGUUGACAAGUGGGCCUGAUGGUGGCCUGGUGAGCCACAAUACUUUUGCCAGCUUGCAAUUUACAGUACAAAGGGCUUUAUUCAGCUAGCAUCGCAUCAGCGAUGUGAUCGCAUUUGGCCGACUUUUGGGUCAGUGCGCACGAGCAGGGUCUGUUCUGCGUGUGCGCAGGCCGGGCAAUGAGAUCGCAUUGCAGUGAUGUGAACGCCUCUGCCUGAUCGACAGGCAGAGGCAUUAGAUGCAGGGUUGCGGGAGCAUGGUGCCAAAGACGUGGGAGGGUCCGGGGGGACAUUUUCAUGGCGGCUGCGUGAUAUCACACACGGCUGCGAAGAGAAAUAUGGCCGUGCUGUGCCUGCGUACACAGCCUGGCUGCGUAUGCAGGGGGCUACCCUUAUUUUCUGGGUCCGUGAUGCGAUCGCAUCGCUGGCCGGCAAUUAGCAUGCAGGGCAACCUUGCCCUGUGCUGGGCGGCUCUCAGCAUGCGAGUGCUAGCAGUUGCAGUUUUGGUAAAUUACUCCAACUGAUGCUGAAUAAGGUCCAAAGUUGUAAACAAAAUAAAGUUACGUGUAUGUAGAGUGUUAAGGUCAAUAAAAUGAAGAAUUCCAUUGAUGAUAAAAGAUAAAGAUUAGGUUGCAUUGGUAUAUCUCUAAUAUCUGUACCUCACCAGUGUCUUGCAUCGGCUGGCGCUGCAGAGCAGCAGAAAAUAAACUGAAAAAAUGGAGCAGCUGCCGUUUUCCUGGUCAUUUAGGCAUAGGCAAGUUAGCCAGAUGCCUAAGGCAUUUGCAAUGCCAAGGGGAAUUCAAGCCUGCCUAGGGCCAGGGUAGGUUCCGCUUUGGGCUGGCUACUGCGAUCGGAGCUCUCAGAAGCAUUUUAGCCUCACAAUUUGCUAAGUUAGGGUUAGAGUUUGACCGAAGUCGGUUUUGUGGAACCGGUUUUUUAUUUCUCAAUACGCAUACUCUGGGAAUACUCAUUCACAUGUGAUUUUGAACUGUAAGCAUUACGGUCGUAACUCCACCUGCAGGUGAAUGCACAAAACUGGGUGUUAAUGUGAUGUUUGCAUAGAGGUUAAUUUUAGUGAGGGUGUGUUGGGUGUGUCGGCAGAUCUGUGGGCAAUGCUGAAUUGCUGAUUUCAGAUGCAUUGUUUGCACCAUGGAUACGGCUGAUGCAAGUGCGUCCUGAUAGUGACAACCAAGAGUAUGGAUACGUGGCGGUGUAGUCACAUAGACACGUACAAUUCUGCAUACGGGCCAAUAACCACAUUUUAUUCUGUGCUGUGCAGUUGCAAAUUAGUCCAACUGUGAAUUCGCCCCCUUAUAGUUAUAUUGUUAUUAAUAAUAAUAAUAAUAAUAAUAAAAUUAUCAUAGUAAUGGCAAAUAA
Long non-coding RNA from Pseudophryne corroboree (corroboree frog), 2287 nucleotides. RefSeq lists it as uncharacterized. The transcript is spliced from 2 exons. Lineage: Eukaryota; Metazoa; Chordata; Amphibia; Anura; Myobatrachidae. The record is from RefSeq and is a predicted model, not a curated record.